Phascolarctos cinereus (koala) is the source of this 2068-nucleotide long non-coding RNA. RefSeq lists it as uncharacterized. The record is from RefSeq and is a predicted model, not a curated record. NCBI's taxonomy places the organism in Eukaryota, Metazoa, Chordata, Mammalia, Diprotodontia, Phascolarctidae.
CAGUGCAAAGUCCCCAUUCUUUGUGUUCAAAACCAAGGCUGCAGUGAAGUUGGGAUGCAACAAGGGCAAAUUCUGCCAGAAACACCUUGGAUUCAUUAUGUGUUUGAUUUUUAAUUGAUUUUUGUUCAGAAACCUUUCGCUGUUGCCAAAGAACGGCUGAUCUAUACCUUGAAGGAAGAUAGAGAUUCUAGAAGGAGGACAGAGAUGCCUGGAGGAGCAAAUUCCAUGCCUGGGGCAGGGAGCAGUCCAUUUAAAGGCUGUUCACAGGCUGUUUGGUACCGUGCUUGCUGGCAAAGUUCUUUGACCCUCUCGUAUUUGGGUCCAGCAGUUUGAGGACUGACUUGCCAUCCACAUCGGGAGGAGUGUCGAGCCCAGCAAUAUCCAGGAUGGUGGGAGCCAGGUCAAUGUUCAGCACAAUCUGAGACACUCUGCAAGGGAACAGUUAGAUGAGAAAGCCAUUCACCUCCCAUCAAGAGGGCAUACAAUUUAGGGUGCUUUUCUAGAAGCACAGAAGAAGCAGUAUUAGCAGUUUAAGGUUUAUAUAGCACUUUACUUCAGAGGCAUAAAAUUCCUAAUUGAUUGAAUCCAGAGCCUGAAUAAAAUGCAAUUGGGAAAUAUUUUACAAAAUAAAUAAAAAGACAGUAUGACAUAAUAAUGGUAAUUUUUUAGUAAAAAUAAUGGUAGUUUGUUGUUUUCUAAGUCACUAUGCAGCCUGCAGAGAUUAGUUUGUAUCUGAGGUCAACACCACUACUUUACACAUAUUCUCUCAUUUGGUCCUUACAACAACCAUGUGAAGUCAUGAAGGAUUGACUUUUAUCUAUCCAUUAGGCUCUUUAUUUUUUUGACCCCAUUAUGACCAAUGAGAUAUAUUUAUGAAGCAUUUGGCUAGGGUGAGGAUUGAACUCUGUAACUGUGGAACAGAGCAAAGCUAACUGACCCAUAAAGGGAUCAAAACUGGAGAUCAUGGCCUCAUUAACACCAUUGUCUAAUGGAGUUAGCAGCCUAGACAAGGUCAAGCAUAUGGCCUUCACAGGUUGUGCACUGGCUUCCCAAAAUUCUUUGGGUCAAAGGCUUUUCCUACAGACCUAGGGUUUUCAAAAUGGAGCUGCCAGAUUCUGUCAAAAGGCGACUAAAGACUUUCAAAGUUGAAUAUUAUCUUCUCCUACCCUAUCUCUCAAACAGAUUUUCUAAGAUUCACUUUUAAGAAAAACCAGGGUGCUUACAAUUGUUUCAGGACAUACCUCCAUAUUCUCAAAACACAAACCAUUGAAAUCCACAACUCUUAAGGGAUGCAGCAUGAUAUAGUAGAAUGGGCAUUAGAUUUGGUGUCACAAGACCAUUCUAUGCCUUUAUUCAUUCAUCCUAGCUGUGUUUACUGUGUGAUUUGGACAAGCCAUCAAACUUCUCUGGGCUUUAGUUCUCUCAGCUCUUAAAUGAGGGGGUUUGACUAGAUAGCUCAUCUGAGUCCUCUUGAGUCACUUCUUCAUUAGUCUAGAGCUGAUUAUUUCAUGAUUUGCAAAAUGAGGGGACUAUAUUGGAUUUCCUGUGGUGCUUUCUUCAGCUCAUUUUAUAGAUGGAGAGAUGGGGACAGAGACACUUAUGGCUCACUCAAGGUUAUAUAUCUAGUCAAUGGAAAGGAUAGAAUUUAAGUACAUACUAGGUGCUUAAUAAAUAUUUACUAACUGACAACUUAAGGCCAUGUCUUCUGUUUUCUAUUCACUGAUUAUUUCCAUUAGACUGCACUGUGUUGUUCAAAUAAUACACACACACACACACACACACACACACACGCACACACACACACAUAUAACCCUAGACUUCAAGAAAUUGGGAAAAGGCUAAUGUGAAAUCAAGCAAGUGAGAGGUUGUUGCUACUUAAAUACAGUCAUGAAUCCUUCUAAAGAAUCUUUUCCCUUCCAAAUUCUUUAUUUACCUACGAGACCAAAGGUGUGAGUUCUUAUUAUGCAAAGAUGGACUAUUAAUAAUAUUUUUUUCUCUGUCUUUGAGUUAUUUUGAAUGACAGUAAAAAAAACCCAAACCUUUAUUCCUAUCUUUUAUGUUAUUCAAU